GGGCCGGUGGUCUAGCCCGGUUAUGAUUAGGUCAAACUCCUUCUGCGAAGGUCACGAGUUCAACUCUCGUCCGGCCCA
Molecule: transfer RNA, 78 nt
Filed under: Candidatus Thorarchaeota archaeon
Lineage: Archaea; Promethearchaeati; Candidatus Thorarchaeota
Description: tRNA-Arg
Rfam family: tRNA
About the family: Transfer RNA (tRNA) molecules are approximately 80 nucleotides in length.
Source: RNAcentral